Long non-coding RNA from Chroicocephalus ridibundus (black-headed gull), 1502 nucleotides. RefSeq lists it as uncharacterized. Lineage: Eukaryota; Metazoa; Chordata; Aves; Charadriiformes; Laridae. The record is from RefSeq and is a predicted model, not a curated record. The transcript is spliced from 3 exons.
CUCUAACUCGGGAUGGCGCCUGUCGCUGGGAAGCAGGAUUGGAGGUGAAAGCCGCAAAAUGAAUCACUCUGAAGAGGGACAUGUGUCUCCUGCCAGGGUGUGCGAGAAAAAGGGCCAAACGAAUGAUGCCUGGCGGCUGCUCAGCAAGAUGCCCACCCGGCACCACGGUGAAUCCGGAGCCUCUCUCCGCGGCACGCCGCGCUGCUGGGAUUGAUUCCGCCUGGCUCCUGCAGGGUUCUGACACAGCCUCGGCAACGAUGAUGUCACCUGCCCGGGCUGCCGAAGGCUCGUCACCUCUCCCCGUCACCCCCCAUCCACCCCGGCGCUUCAGCACACCCCGUCUCUGAAACCAGGCUGCUUCCCCGGGGCUUGCUCCGUUCCUCCUCUGCUCCCCGGCUGCUGCCUCGCAUCCCCGAGCGCUUCCGCUGGAAAAAGCGGCAGGAAAACCCUGGGCUCCUCCCAGCAUCCAAGUUAACCAGAGCCAACCCCUGAUCCUGUCCCUUCGACAGGUUCUUGGAUCCUCUUCUGAGGGACGAGGGGACCCCAGACAGUUCCUGUGAAUCCUGCCCCAGGGCGUAACGCUGAACUCUUGGAACUUCGGCUUUUGCGCAUCUUUUCCCUCCUGCGCGGACCCACGGUGGCGAGACCUGGCCGGGCUCCCACAGAGCAGCUUGCUGCCGCCUCCGGAGCCCGGCACAGCAGUGGAGCGGCUCUUUGGGGCUACCCAAGCCCAUCUACUCUCACCUGGCCGCUUGGACCCGCAAAACCCCUUCCCUGGGCUCGCAAAAGGCGGCGACCAAAACCAAAUGGGCAGAGGCACGGGGCUGCUCCGAGGCACCGCUCCCGUUGCGGUGUACCGAGGGUUCGGUGCGCGCCGCAACCAUUAAUAAAGCAUCAAAGGCUCCUGAGGGGGAAAAAAAGAGUUUGAAACUUCUUCAAAAAACACAUGCAUAUUAAUGACGCACCAAUUAUUCAUGAGGAAACCGUCUCCCCUCGCCAGCAACUUCCAGGGCUCCUGUUUGCUCGGGUGCGGUGCAAAAACCUUUCCCAGUGACCCAGCCCUGCCCGCUGGCACCAGCUCUCUGCCGGGAGAAGUGCCGGCACCGCGUUUCUCCCCCCAGCAGCUCUCCUGGCACCGGCAUCCCCGGCACAGCGCCUCAACGCGCUCGCUGGCAGCGGCCCCACCUGUCUGCUACCCGUCCCGCUGCCAACACCCUCCAGCGGAGCCAGGGAGCAGAAGAAGGGAGGAGAGCGGCUCAGCCGCUGCAGCACAGAGAUAUCUACCUGCGGUCGCGAACAGGCAGGUCAGCUCCGACAGGAGCCGGCUGCUCUCCUUGCAGGUCCCAUCAAGACGGUGUCAGGGAGCCUGGCGAGCCCCGGCGCUGAUGCUCUGCAGGGGGGUGAUGGGCUUCCAUGCAAAACCCAGCCCAGAGCCUCCUCAAGGUCCACAGCCCCCUUCCAGGGGGACACAGGGUUGCCCGGGGGCCCAGCGACCCCUAGAA